This is a small nucleolar RNA of Piliocolobus tephrosceles (Ugandan red Colobus), 59 nucleotides long. NCBI's taxonomy places the organism in Eukaryota, Metazoa, Chordata, Mammalia, Primates, Cercopithecidae. The record is from Ensembl.
ACAGAAGAUGAACUUAUUGAUGGGUGGACAGAGAUAGUGUGCUGUCAUGUUCUGAUUUU